This 372-nucleotide ribosomal RNA is filed under the name uncultured eukaryote. RNAcentral describes it as "bacterial SSU rRNA". It matches the Rfam family "Eukaryotic small subunit ribosomal RNA", at positions 592 to 969 of the family's 1831-position model. The record is from RNAcentral.
CAAUAGCGUAUAUUAAAGUUGUUGCAGUUAAAAAGCUCGUAGUUGGAUUUCUGGGAGGGUGCCAAUGUCCGUCAACGUGCGUGUGCAGCGGCGCCCUUCCAUCCUUCUGUUAACGCCUCUGGGCAUUUAUUUGCUGGUGGCGGGCUCAGAUAUUUUACCUUGAGAAAAUUAGAGUGCUCAAAGCAGGCUAUUACGCCUGAAUAUUCGUGCAUGGAAUAAUAGAAUAGGAAGUCGUUUCUAUUUUUGUUGGUUUUCGGAAAUCGACUUAAUGAUUAAUAGGGACAGUCGGGGGCAUUUGUAUUCAACGACAGAGGUGAAAUUCUUGGACCGUUUGAAGACAAACUACUGCGAAAGCAUUUGCCAAGAAUGUUU